CAGCAGUGGGGAAUCUUGCGCAAUGGGCGAAAGCCUGACGCAGCAACGCCGCGUGCGGGAAGAAGGCUUUCGGGCUGUAAACCGCUUUCAGCAGGAACGAAAAUGACGGUACCUGGAGAAUAAGGAGCGGCCAACUACGUGCCAGCAGCCGCGGUGACACGUAGGCUCCAAGCGUUGUCCGGAUUUAUUGGGCGUAAAGAGCUCGUAGGCGGUUGAGUAAGUCGGGUGUGAAAACUCUGGGCUUAACCCGGAGACGCCACUCGAUACUGCUCUGACUUGAGUUCAGGAGGGGAGUGGGGAAUUCCUAGUGUAGCGGUGAAAUGCGCAGAUAUUAGGAGGAACACCGGUGGCGAAGGCGCCACUCUGGACUGAAACUGACGCUGAGGAGCGAAAGCAUGGGUAGCAAACAGGAUUAGA
Molecule: ribosomal RNA, 417 nt
Filed under: uncultured Ilumatobacter sp.
Lineage: Bacteria; Bacillati; Actinomycetota; Acidimicrobiia; Acidimicrobiales; Ilumatobacteraceae
Description: bacterial SSU rRNA
Rfam family: Bacterial small subunit ribosomal RNA
Source: RNAcentral